Molecule: ribosomal RNA, 161 nt
Filed under: uncultured bacterium
Lineage: Bacteria
Description: partial 16S rRNA
Rfam family: Bacterial small subunit ribosomal RNA
Source: RNAcentral
GGAAUCUUCCACAAUGGGCGCAAGCCUGAUGGAGCAACACCGCGUGAGUGAAGAAGGGUUUCGGCUCGUAAAGCUCUGUUGUUAAAGAAGAACACGUAUGAGAGCAACUGUUCAUACGUUGACGGUAUUUAACCAGAAAGUCACGGCUAACUACUUGCCAG